AUUGAACGCUGGCGGCAGGCCUAACACAUGCAAGUCGAACGGUAACAGGAAGCAGCUUGCUGCUUCGCUGACGAGUGGCGGACGGGUGAGUAAUGUCUGGGAAGCUGCCUGAUGGAGGGGGAUAACUACUGGAAACGGUAGCUAAUACCGCAUAAUGUCGCAAGACCAAAGAGGGGGACCUUCGGGCCUCUUGCCAUCGGAUGUGCCCAGGUGGGAUUAGCUUGUUGGUGGGGUAACGGCCCACCAAGGCGACGAUCCCUAGCUGGUCUGAGAGGAUGACCAGCCACACUGGAACUGGGACACGGUCCAGACUCCUACGGGAGGCAGCAGUGGGGAAUAUGGGACAAUGGGCGCAAGCCUGAUGCAGCCAUGCCGCGUGUAUGAAGAAGGCCUUCGGGGUGUAAAGUACGUUCAGCGGGGAGGAAGGGAGUAAAGUUAAUACCUUUGCUCAUUGACGUUACCCGCAGAAGAAGCACCGGCUAACUACGUG
Molecule: ribosomal RNA, 490 nt
Filed under: uncultured bacterium
Lineage: Bacteria
Description: partial 16S ribosomal RNA
Rfam family: Bacterial small subunit ribosomal RNA
Source: RNAcentral